AACGCACAUUGCGCCCUCUGGUAUUCCGGGGGGCAUGCCUGUCCGAGCGUCAUUGCAACCCUCAAGCGCGGCUUGCGUGUUGGGCCUUAUUUUGUCCCCGGCUUCCCGGGGACAGGCCCCAAAGGCAGUGGCGGCGUCCCGAUGGAGGCCCGAGCGUAUGGGAACGGAAACGUGCCAGCUUGGAGGCUUCCGCGGGUGCCCGCCGGUCAACCCUCAAUUCUUUCUCGGUUGACCUCGGAUCAGGUAGGAUUACCCGCUGAACUUAA
RNAcentral lists this unclassified non-coding RNA (266 nucleotides) under uncultured Onygenales. RNAcentral describes it as "sequence contains ITS2". Lineage: Eukaryota; Fungi; Ascomycota; Eurotiomycetes; Onygenales. The record is from RNAcentral.